This 1218-nucleotide long non-coding RNA is filed under the name Crocodylus porosus (Australian saltwater crocodile). RNAcentral's name for it is "lncRNA (ENSCPRG00005001182.1)". Lineage: Eukaryota; Metazoa; Chordata; Crocodylia; Crocodylidae. The record is from RNAcentral.
GUCAGAAGUAACUGGUGGAUAAAGCAGACAAACUGGGCAGGGUUGCAUUGGGAGGGUGAAGUAACAAGAAAACUGAGCCAAACAGUAGAGGAGAAGUCAUAGCUUGUCAUUUGCCCAAUCAAUGCUAGAUCAGAGUUAUUUGUAACACCAAGGCUGGGUAGGUUUAAAAAAGAUUUUUAAAGGAGGGUAAGUUGGUGGUUUUAUGAAUUGUGAUAAGGCACUUUUCCCCACUAUAUUAGGAUAACCGGGGGAAAAGGUAGGAAGGUGCUUGAGUGAGAGGAGAAGCAGCAGAUGAUGAAUGCUUGCUUCACUGGCAGAGGAGAAGCAGAAGUCAGUGAGGAGUCAGGAGCAAUGUUAGAAGAUAAAAGAGAAAGGAGGGCAUGUAGACUUGUGCAACUGAGAGAUUAAUGUAGUUUGACUGACAAGUCAGAAAGAUGACCCUUGAACCAAAAGAUGUUGAAUAAUUUUGACAAUGCAUGGCAAUGAGGCUGGCAUUAAGCCAAAGAGAGGGUGAUAAUUUUGGUGAAGUACAUGAGGAAGGACAACAGCCAGCAAAUACUUGGACAAGAGCCUUAGAAGCCUGGACAAACCAUAAAGCCUGAGUCUUUGAACAUUAUGUGGGUUAAAGAGACAAGACUUGAGGCAAGACUUGGACUUGACCUGUGUGUGUAGGUCAGUGAAGAUGCCAAGCUCAAAAUGUCAGGUUGGAGAUGUUGAUUUUAGCCACUCUGGGGCUGAUCCAGCUACCCCUGAACUUUGUGUGGUCUUGCAAUUGAUGCUGCACUAGCACUGAGUCUUCUGUGCCUAAGUCUGUGCACUGAGGAGAUUAUAAGAUCCAUUGGCCUGGUUACAAGAUCCACAAAUAUUGCCUAUGGACUUUACAAGUUCUAUAUUUUUGAGCCAGCUUCCACAAGAAUAUUUGAUGAGGCAUCGUUUUCAUGGAACUGUUGGCUGUGUUACUACAGUUCGCAAGAAUCACAUACUUUAUUAAGUAAAUCUUUGUAGGGGAGGACACUGAAGACCUUUAUCCAAUUUUAAAAUGAACUACUGAAGUCGCUCACAUUACAGUUUGUAUGCCUAUAUGUUGCCUUUCCCUUAACAUGCUAAACUGUGAGGAUAAGGACCUCCUUUAUUUAGAUGUUUACUCAGCAUCAGGCAAAAUGAAACCAUGAAUUCCUAUUAAGCCCAUUGUGCCCUCUUGAAAAAACAAUAAAUAAA